UCUAAGUAUAAGCAAUUAUACCGCGAAACUGCGAAUGGCUCAUUAAAUCAGUUAUCGUUUAUUUGAUAGUACCUUACUACUUGGAUAACCGUGGUAAUUCUAGAGCUAAUACAUGCUAAAAACCCCAACUCACGAAGGGGUGUAUUUAUUAGAUUAAAAACCAAUGCCCUUCGGGGCUCUUUGGUGAUUCAUAAUAACUUCUCGAAUCGCAUGGCCUUGUGCCGGCGAUGGUUCAUUCAAAUUUCUGCCCUAUCAACUUUCGAUGGCAGGGUCUUGGCCUGCCAUGGUUACAACGGGUAACGGAGGGUUAGGGCUCGACCCCGGAGAAGGAGCCUGAGAAACGGCUACUACAUCCAAGGAAGGCAGCAGGCGCGCAAAUUACCCAAUCCCGAUUCGGGGAGGUAGUGACAAUAAAUACUGAUACAGGGCUCUUUUGGGUCUUGUAAUUGGAAUGAGUACAAUUUAAAUCCCUUAACGAGGAACAAUUGGAGGGCAAGUCUGGUGCCAGCAGCCGCGGUAAUUCCAGCUCCAAUAGCGUAUAUUAAAGUUGUUGCAGUUAAAAAGCUCGUAGUUGAACCUUGGGCCUGGCUGGCCGGUCCGCCUCACCGCGUGCACUGGUUCGGCCGGGCCUUUCCCUCUGGGGAUCCCCAUGCCCUUUACUGGGUGUGGUGGGGAACCAGGACUUUUACUGUGAAAAAAUUAGAGUGUUCAAAGCAGGCCUAUGCUCGAAUACAUUAGCAUGGAAUAAUAGAAUAGGACGUGUGGUUCUAUUUUGUUGGUUUCUAGGACCGCCGUAAUGAUUAAUAGGGACAGUCGGGGGCAUCAGUAUUCAAUUGUCAGAGGUGAAAUUCUUGGAUUUAUUGAAGACUAACUACUGCGAAAGCAUUUGCCAAGGAUGUUUUCAUUAAUCAGGAACGAAAGUUAGGGGAUCGAAGA
RNAcentral lists this ribosomal RNA (936 nucleotides) under Allocryptovalsa sp. RNAcentral describes it as "SSU rRNA". It matches the Rfam family "Eukaryotic small subunit ribosomal RNA", at positions 58 to 1004 of the family's 1831-position model. Lineage: Eukaryota; Fungi; Ascomycota; Sordariomycetes; Xylariales; Diatrypaceae. The record is from RNAcentral.